GUGGGGAAUAUUGGACAAUGGGCGAAAGCCUGAUCCAGCCAUGCCGCGUGUGUGAAGAAGGUCUUCGGAUUGUAAAGCACUUUAAGUUGGGAGGAAGGGCAGUAAGUUAAUACCUUGCUGUUUUGACGUUACCGACAGAAUAAGCACCGGCUAACUUCGUGCCAGCAGCCGCGGUAAUACGAAGGGUGCAAGCGUUAAUCGGAAUUACUGGGCGUAAAGCGCGCGUAGGUGGUUUUGUAAGUUGGAGGUGAAAUCCCCGGGCUCAACCUGGGAACUGCCUCCAAAACUGCAUGACUAGAGUACGGUAGAGGGUAGUGGAAUUUCCUGUGUAGAGGUGAAAUGCGUAGAUAUAGGAAGGAACACCAGUGGCGAAGGCGACUACCUGGACUGAUACUGACACUGAGGUGCGAAAGCGUGGGGAGCAAACAGGAUUAGAAACCCUAGUAGUCC
This 450-nucleotide ribosomal RNA is filed under the name uncultured bacterium. RNAcentral's name for it is "partial 16S ribosomal RNA". It matches the Rfam family "Bacterial small subunit ribosomal RNA", at positions 354 to 796 of the family's 1533-position model. The record is from RNAcentral.